CUCCUUCAUUUCCACUUUGACAACUUGCAAGUAAUCUUUCAUGUUUCCUUAGUGACAAGUCUCUUCAUUCACUGAUUUCCACAUGCUGCAGUAUUUAUUCCAUCAGUCAUCUUUGAACUUUUGUGUUGGCCACCAGCUGGUGACAGAAACAUUUCUGCUAUAUUCAUACUUUUUGAAUCCCAAACACAACAGUCAUCAUCAAACAGAGGCACCAUCCCCAGGAACUCAGUUUGCCUCAGUGCAUUAAACCGAAUAGUUCAACACCACGGACAGCGACUGCACCUGUCUGGAUGAAGGUCUGUGAUGAGACGUGUACGACCUUUUUCAGAACCAUGGACAGUACCACAAGCUUCAAGUUCAACGCCAUUAUACUGUAAUCCACACUAAAGCACCAUAAUGUGUUAUUUGAAACCUCAAAAUGCAACCUCCACAUGAAGAGUAUCAAAAAUUAAUUAAAAUGAAAAUAAAUGUUUGUCUUCACAUUUUAAUAGGUCUG
RNAcentral lists this long non-coding RNA (496 nucleotides) under Phascolarctos cinereus (koala). RNAcentral's name for it is "lncRNA (ENSPCIG00000017285.2)". The record is from RNAcentral. Lineage: Eukaryota; Metazoa; Chordata; Mammalia; Diprotodontia; Phascolarctidae.